RNAcentral lists this ribosomal RNA (253 nucleotides) under uncultured bacterium. RNAcentral describes it as "partial 16S ribosomal RNA". It matches the Rfam family "Bacterial small subunit ribosomal RNA", at positions 524 to 776 of the family's 1533-position model. The record is from RNAcentral.
UACGUAGGAUGCAAGUGUUAUCCGGAAUCACUGGGCGUAAAGCGUCUGUAGGUGGUUCGAAAAGUCCACUGUUAAAAAUUGAGGCUUAACUUCAAAGAUGCCGUGGAAACUUUCAAACUAGAGUAUGGUAGGGGUAGAGGGAAUUUCCAGUGGAGCGGUGAAAUGCGUAGAUAUUGGAAAGACCACCGAUGGCGAAGGCACUCUACUGGGCCAUUACUGACACUGAGAGACGAAAGCUAGGGGAGCAAAUGGG